GGGUUGUGAGGUUAAGCGACUAAGCGUACACGGUGGAUGCCCUGGCAGUCAGAGGCGAUGAAGGACGUGCUAAUCUGCGAUAAGCGUCGGUAAGGUGAUAUGAACCGUUAUAACCGGCGAUUUCCGAAUGGGG
Molecule: ribosomal RNA, 133 nt
Filed under: Shigella flexneri
Lineage: Bacteria; Pseudomonadati; Pseudomonadota; Gammaproteobacteria; Enterobacterales; Enterobacteriaceae
Also listed under: 1 other name
Description: partial 23S ribosomal RNA
Rfam family: Bacterial large subunit ribosomal RNA
Source: RNAcentral